UUAACUCGAAUUUGUGUGGAGUUCGAACGUUUGCCUGCGUUUGCCGCUAGGGGCGCUGUUCUAACUGCAUACAAAUUCGUGUUA
Non-coding RNA from Bombyx mori (domestic silkworm), 84 nucleotides. The record is from Rfam. Lineage: Eukaryota; Metazoa; Arthropoda; Insecta; Lepidoptera; Bombycidae.